GUGGGUAGAGCUCAGUGGUAGAGUGCAUGCUUAGCAUGCAUGAGGUCCUGGGUUCAAUCCCCAGCACCUCUU
Molecule: transfer RNA, 72 nt
Filed under: Camelus bactrianus (Bactrian camel)
Lineage: Eukaryota; Metazoa; Chordata; Mammalia; Artiodactyla; Camelidae
Also listed under: 1 other name
Rfam family: tRNA
About the family: Transfer RNA (tRNA) molecules are approximately 80 nucleotides in length. Their secondary structure includes four short double-helical elements and three loops (D, anti-codon, and T loops). Further hydrogen bonds mediate the characteristic L-shaped molecular structure. tRNAs have two regions of fundamental functional importance: the anti-codon, which is responsible for specific mRNA codon recognition, and the 3' end, to which the tRNAs corresponding amino acid is attached (by aminoacyl-tRNA synthetases). tRNAs cope with the degeneracy of the genetic code in two manners: having more than one tRNA (with a specific anti-codon) for a particular amino acid; and 'wobble' base-pairing, i.e. permitting non-standard base-pairing at the 3rd anti-codon position.
Source: Rfam by way of RNAcentral